CGCGUAGGCGGGUCAGCAAGUCCGGGGUGAAAUCUUUCGGCUCAACCGGAAAAGUGCCUUGGAUACUGCUGGUCUAGAGGGAGGUAGGGGCAUGUGGAACUUCUGGUGGAGCGGUGAAAUGCGUUGAUAUCAGAAGGAACGCCGGUGGCGAAAGCGACGUGCUGGAUCUCUUCUGACGCUGAGGCGCGAAAGCCAGGGGAGCAAACGGGAUUAGAUACCCCGGUAGUCCUGGCCCUAAACGAUGGGAACUAGGUAGCGGACUAAACAUGGGUUCGCUGCCGAAGCUAAAGUGCUAAGUUCCCCGCCUGGGGAGUAUGGUCGCAAGGCUGAA
RNAcentral lists this ribosomal RNA (331 nucleotides) under uncultured bacterium. RNAcentral's name for it is "bacterial SSU rRNA". It matches the Rfam family "Bacterial small subunit ribosomal RNA", at positions 568 to 898 of the family's 1533-position model. The record is from RNAcentral.